GACGAACGCUGGCGGCGUGCUUAACACAUGCAAGUCGAACGGAAAGGCCCUGCUUUUGUGGGGUGCUCGAGUGGCGAACGGGUGAGUAACACGUGAGUAACCUGCCCUUGACUUUGGGAUAACUUCAGGAAACUGGGGCUAAUACCGGAUAGGAGCUCCUGCUGCAUGGUGGGGGUUGGAAAGUUUCGGCGGUUGGGGAUGGACUCGCGGCUUAUCAGCUUGUUGGUGGGGUAGUGGCUUACCAAGGCUUUGAAGGGUGGCCGGCCUGAGAGCGUGACCGGCCACAUUGGGACUGAGAUACGGCCCAGACUCCUACGGGAGGCAGCAGUGGGGAAUAUUGCACAAUGGGCGGAAGCCUGAUGCAGCAACGCCGCGUGCGGGAUGACGGCCUUCGGGUUGUAAACCGCUUUCGCCUGUGACGAAGCGUGAGUGACGGUAAUGGGUAAAGAAGCACCGGCUAACUACGUG
Molecule: ribosomal RNA, 468 nt
Filed under: uncultured bacterium
Lineage: Bacteria
Description: partial 16S ribosomal RNA
Rfam family: Bacterial small subunit ribosomal RNA
Source: RNAcentral